Molecule: ribosomal RNA, 585 nt
Filed under: uncultured bacterium
Lineage: Bacteria
Description: bacterial SSU rRNA
Rfam family: Bacterial small subunit ribosomal RNA
Source: RNAcentral
CCUACGGGAGGCAGCAGUGGGGAAUUUUGGACAAUGGGGGCAACCCUGAUCCAGCAAUGCCGCGUGAGUGAAGAAGGCCUUCGGGUUGUAAAGCUCUUUUGUCAGGGAAGAAACGGUGAUCUCUAAUACAGAUUACUAAUGACGGUACCUGAAGAAUAAGCACCGGCUAACUACGUGCCAGCAGCCGCGGUAAUACGUAGGGUGCAAGCGUUAAUCGGAAUUACUGGGCGUAAAGCGUGCGCAGGCGGUUAUAUAAGUCAGAUGUGAAAUCCCCGGGCUCAACCUGGGAACUGCAUUUGAGACUGUAUGGCUAGAGUGUGUCAGAGGGGGGUAGAAUUCCACGUGUAGCAGUGAAAUGCGUAGAUAUGUGGAGGAAUACCGAUGGCGAAGGCAGCCCCCUGGGAUAACACUGACGCUCAUGCACGAAAGCGUGGGGAGCAAACAGGAUUAGAUACCCUGGUAGUCCACGCCCUAAACGAUGUCUACUAGUUGUCGGGUCUUAAUUGACUUGGUAACGCAGCUAACGCGUGAAGUAGACCGCCUGGGGAGUACGGUCGCAAGAUUAAAACUUAAAGGAAUUGACGG